UACCCGCGGCCCGAGUGGUGCUCAUUAUUAUUGAGCCUAAAGCGUCCGUAGCUGGCCGUGCAAAUCUCCGGGGAAAUCGGACGGCCCAACUGUCCGAAGACCGGAGACACUGCUCGGCUCGAGAUCGGGAGAGGGAGGAGGUACUCUCGGGGUAGGGGUAAAAUCCUGUAAUCCUGAGGGGACCACCAGUGGCGAAGGCGUCCUCCUAGAACGAAUCUGACAGUGAGGGACGAAGCCCUAGGGCGCAAACGGGAUUAGAUACCCCGGUAGUCUAGGGUGUAAACGCUGCAGACUUGGUGUUGGGGGUCCUGCGUGGGCUCCCAGUGCCGGAGCGAAGGUGUUAAGUCUGCCGCUUGGGGAGUACGGUCGCAAGACUGAAACUUAAAGGAAUUGGCGGGAGAGCACCGCAACGGGAGGAGCGUGCGGUUCAAUUGGAUUCAACGCCGGAAAACUCACCGGGGGCGACGGAGGGAUGAAAGCCAGGCUGAAGACCUUGCCCGAUUCUCCGAGAGGUGGUGCAUGGCCGUCGUCAGUUCGUACCGUAAGGCGUUCUGUUAAGUCAGAUAACGAACGAGACCCUCGCCUUCAGUCGCUAUUUCGUGCGUGAGCACGAGAGCACACUGGGGGGAUCGCUGCCGCUAAGACAGAGGAAGGAGAGGUCUACGGUAGGUCCGUAUGCCCCGAAUCUCCCGGGCAACACGCGCGCUACAAAGGUGGGGACAAUGGGAUCCGACCCCGCAAGGGGAAGGCAAUCCUGAAACCCCAUCGUAGUCUGGAUUGAGGGCUGUAACUCGCCCUCAUGAAAAUGGAUUCCGUAGUAAUCGCGGGUCAACAUCCCGCGGUGAAUGUGCCCCUGCUCUU
Molecule: ribosomal RNA, 861 nt
Filed under: uncultured archaeon
Lineage: Archaea
Description: bacterial SSU rRNA
Rfam family: Archaeal small subunit ribosomal RNA
Source: RNAcentral